Molecule: RNase P RNA, 377 nt
Filed under: Salmonella enterica subsp. enterica serovar Adjame
Lineage: Bacteria; Pseudomonadati; Pseudomonadota; Gammaproteobacteria; Enterobacterales; Enterobacteriaceae
Description: RNase P RNA component class A
Rfam family: Bacterial RNase P class A
About the family: Ribonuclease P (RNase P) is a ubiquitous endoribonuclease, found in archaea, bacteria and eukarya as well as chloroplasts and mitochondria. Its best characterised activity is the generation of mature 5'-ends of tRNAs by cleaving the 5'-leader elements of precursor-tRNAs.
Source: RNAcentral
GAAGCUGACCAGACAGUCGCCGCUUCGUCGUCGUCCUUUCGGGGAGACGGGCGGAGGGGAGGAAAGUCCGGGGCUCCAUAGGGCAGGGUGCCAGGUAACGCCUGGGGGGGAAACCCACGACCAGUGCAACAGAGAGCAAACCGCCGAUGGCCCACGUAAGUGGGAUCAGGUAAGGGGUGAAAGGGUGCGGUAAGAGCGCACCGCGCGGCUGGUAACAGUCCGUGGCACGGUAAACUCCACCCGGAGCAAGGCCAAAUAGGGGUUCAUAAGGUACGGCCCGUACUGAACCCGGGUAGGCUGCUUGAGCCAGUGAGCGAUUGCUGGCCUAGAUGAAUGACUGUCCACGACAGAACCCGGCUUAUCGGUCAGUUUCACCU